RNAcentral lists this ribosomal RNA (405 nucleotides) under Klebsiella quasipneumoniae. RNAcentral describes it as "partial 23S ribosomal RNA". It matches the Rfam family "Bacterial large subunit ribosomal RNA", at positions 2261 to 2665 of the family's 2925-position model. Lineage: Bacteria; Pseudomonadati; Pseudomonadota; Gammaproteobacteria; Enterobacterales; Enterobacteriaceae. The record is from RNAcentral.
GUGGGUAGUUUGACUGGGGCGGUCUCCUCCCAAAGCGUAACGGAGGAGCACGAAGGUUAGCUAAUCCUGGUCGGACAUCAGGAGGUUAGUGCAAUGGCAUAAGCUAGCUUGACUGCGAGCGUGACGGCGCGAGCAGGUGCGAAAGCAGGUCAUAGUGAUCCGGUGGUUCUGAAUGGAAGGGCCAUCGCUCAACGGAUAAAAGGUACUCCGGGGAUAACAGGCUGAUACCGCCCAAGAGUUCAUAUCGACGGCGGUGUUUGGCACCUCGAUGUCGGCUCAUCACAUCCUGGGGCUGAAGUAGGUCCCAAGGGUAUGGCUGUUCGCCAUUUAAAGUGGUACGCGAGCUGGGUUUAGAACGUCGUGAGACAGUUCGGUCCCUAUCUGCCGUGGGCGCUGGAGAAUUGA